This is a long non-coding RNA of Bombus impatiens (common eastern bumble bee), 282 nucleotides long. RefSeq lists it as uncharacterized. Lineage: Eukaryota; Metazoa; Arthropoda; Insecta; Hymenoptera; Apidae. The transcript has 2 exons. The record is from RefSeq and is a predicted model, not a curated record.
GCUGCGUACUGUUCUGUAGUUUGCUUCAGGUUUUUAUGUUAUAAUUUUGCAGAGAAUGAUUAGAUGAGUAAAUAUUUGCGUCUACAUCAAAUGUCACAACAGUCGACAUCGAGAAUAUCAUCUGCAUCACUUUCCGAAAGAAGACAAUCCCCAUCAUAAGGAUUGAAUUUGAAAAGUUGGCAAUCUCUUCCUAAAAUAUUAUACCCGCAACUUUUUAAGAAGCAUGGAUGUCCGUGGCGAUCAUUGUUUACCCGAAAUCAUCAAACAAAAUCGUACAAAAAA